ACCCAUGUGACAUACCUACUGUUGCUUCGGCGGGAUUGCCCCGGGCGCCUCGUGUGCCCCGGAUCAGGCGCCCGCCUAGGAAACUUAACUCUUGUUUUAUUUUGGAAUCUUCUGAGUAGUUUUUACAAAUAAAUAAAAACUUUCAACAACGGAUCUCUUGGUUCUGGCAUCGAUGAAGAACGCAGCGAAAUGCGAUAAGUAAUGUGAAUUGCAGAAUUCAGUGAAUCAUCGAAUCUUUGAACGCACAUUGCGCCCGCCAGUAUUCUGGCGGGCAUGCCUGUCUGAGCGUCAUUUCAACCCUCAUGCCCCUAGGGCGUGGUGUUGGGGAUCGGCCAAAGCCCGCGAGGGACGGCCGGCCCCUAAAUCUAGUGGCGGACCCGUCGUGGCCUCCUCUGCGAAGUAGUGAUAUUCCGCAUCGGAGAGCGAUGAGCCCCUGCCGUUAAACCCCCAACUUUCCAAGGUUGACCUCAGAUCAGGUAGGAAUACCCGCUGAACUUAAGCAUAUCAAUAAGCGGAGGAA
This 520-nucleotide ribosomal RNA is filed under the name Clonostachys rosea. RNAcentral's name for it is "eukaryotic LSU rRNA". The stretch from base 138 to 291 matches the Rfam family "5.8S ribosomal RNA". The record is from RNAcentral. Lineage: Eukaryota; Fungi; Ascomycota; Sordariomycetes; Hypocreales; Bionectriaceae.